This 231-nucleotide ribosomal RNA is filed under the name uncultured bacterium. RNAcentral describes it as "partial 16S ribosomal RNA". It matches the Rfam family "Bacterial small subunit ribosomal RNA", at positions 118 to 347 of the family's 1533-position model. The record is from RNAcentral.
UGAGUAACCUGCCCUUAACUCUGGGAUAAGCCUGGGAAACUGGGUCUAAUACCGGAUACGAGACGCGAAGGCAUCUUCAGCGUCUGGAAAGAACUUCGGUCCAGGAUGAGCUCGCGGCCUAUCAGGUAGUUGGUGAGGUAAUGGCUCACCAAGCCUACGACGGGUAGCCGGCCUGAGAGGGUGACCGGCCACACUGGGACUGAGACACGGCCCAGACUCCUACGGGAGCAG